GAUGAAGAACGCAGCGAAAUGCGAUACGUAAUGUGAAUUGCAGAAUUCCGUGAAUCAUCGAAUCUUUGAACGCACAUUGCGCCCGCCAGCAUUCUGGCGGGCAUGCCUGUUCGAGCGUCAUUUCAACCCUCGACCUCCCUUUGGGGAAGUCGGCGUUGGGGACCGGCAGCACACCGCCGGCCCUGAAAUGGAGUGGCGGCCCGUCCGCGGCGACCUCUGCGUAGUAAACCAACUCGCACCGGAACCCCGACGUGGCCACGCCGUAAAACACCCAACUUCUGAACGUUGACCUCGAAUCAGGUAGGACUACCCGCUGAACUUAAGCAUAUCAAUAAGCGGAGGA
Molecule: unclassified non-coding RNA, 343 nt
Filed under: soil metagenome
Description: partial contains 5.8S ribosomal RNA, internal transcribed spacer 2, and large subunit ribosomal RNA
Rfam family: 5.8S ribosomal RNA (bases 1-120)
Source: RNAcentral